UUGCCUACGGGAGGCAGCAGUGGGGAAUAUUGCACAAUGGGGGGAACCCUGAUGCAGCGACGCCGCGUGGGUGAGGAAGUACUUCGGUAUGUAAAGCCCUAUCAGCAGGGAAGAAAAUGACGGUACCUGACUAAGAAGCCCCGGCUAACUACGUGCCAGCAGCCGCGGUAAUACGUAGGGGGCAAGCGUUAUCCGGAUUUACUGGGUGUAAAGGGAGCGCAGGCGGUCUGGCAAGUCUGAUGUGAAAUACCGGGGCUCAACUCCGGGACUGCAUUGGAAACUGUCAGACUGGAGUGUCGGAGAGG
This 305-nucleotide ribosomal RNA is filed under the name uncultured bacterium. Its description in RNAcentral is "bacterial SSU rRNA". It matches the Rfam family "Bacterial small subunit ribosomal RNA", at positions 335 to 657 of the family's 1533-position model. The record is from RNAcentral.